Phyllostomus discolor (pale spear-nosed bat) is the source of this 2111-nucleotide long non-coding RNA. RefSeq lists it as uncharacterized. NCBI's taxonomy places the organism in Eukaryota, Metazoa, Chordata, Mammalia, Chiroptera, Phyllostomidae. The record is from RefSeq and is a predicted model, not a curated record. The transcript is spliced from 2 exons.
GCUGGAUGUUAUCCGGGUUUCUUUCCCAGUUCUGGUCCUAUAGGCUGGGGAGCUCAGCUUGGGGUUUAGACCCCAUACAUCUCAAGGGGAACCCUCCAGCUGCUGUAGUAUUCCUCUGGAACUUCAGCAGCCUCCCAUGGGAGCCCAGCCAGACCUCUUACACCUCUUCCGCAUUCCUUACCAGUCUCGUUGUAGUGAAAUAUUUUGUUCUGUCUACCUGUGGUUAUAAGGCUUCUCUCCAGCUAGGUUUCAGUUAGUUAUUCAGGAUUAUUUCUGUACAAUUUAGCUGUAAUUCCAUAUUGGUCCUGACAAGAGGAUAAUAUAGCUUCCACUUAACUCCUCCACCACCUUGGAUCUCCCUCAUCCUUUUUUUCUGAGCUAAAGCUUAUACAGUUGGCAUCAGAAUUCUACAAUCAUGUAAGAUGUUUCCUGGAAUCACAAAACCCUUAGAAGAAGAAGCUCUAAACUGAUGUCAAGCCCAGUUUUCAGUAAUAAUUAAAGAAAUUAAAUGACUGUUUAAUUUCAAAAGGUAAGGAAAUGAAAUAAACGUUUCAUCAUUAAAGGGCUGACAGUAUGAGAUUCCUCAUUAGGUCUCCCAGAGAGCACAGGCAAUUUUGCACCUAGUAAAAAACCUUCAAAGUCUCUUUUAUUAUGACAUGCAAACAAAUUGCUUCUCUUAAAUUUUUUUAGAUGUUUCUCUGUUUUCAAAAAGCCUGUUUAUUUCCUACUGCUAAUGUGUCUUCUAGAAUGUAUUUGAUUUCUUUUAGUCUUCUGUCACCCAUUGUCAAGUGGCAUAUAGUUCAGUCCAAUUUAGUUCAGCGAGGUUCAUGAAUAUUACCCCCCACCACACAGACACACACACAAUUUAAAUCCUGACAUUUCCUGAUGCUCCUUAAGUAGCAUUUCAUAUAUAAAUCAUAGCAUGCUGAUUUAUCCUUACCACAUAUUCUUUUUAGCACUUACCAGGAACACUGUAACUGCUAUGUCUGAACAGGCUUUGGAAGGUGGCUGGUGGGGAGGGACACAGACAGGGUGAUGAUGAGGGAGGCAUUAAUUAAAAAUCCUUUCUUUUAGCUUACCAUCUGCCUGAGGAAUUAACAAAUCCAGCCACAAAGAGUUAAACAAUUCAUCAACAAAGAAGUCAGCACAGGGUCCCAACUUUCACAAAAAUGGAAAGGAGAAAAGAAACCUUAAAUAUCAUCUGGACCAAACAUCUCAUUUUGCAGAUGAGCAAACAAAGUCUCAGCAGGGAUAUAAAGGAACUAAUUAGGGAGAGAAGCAAGAUUAGGGACCAUGACUUAAAAUCUAAUUAGAGGUACAAACAAUAAGUACUGUGAGAAGAAAAAAAUGACCCCCAGUGAGAGUCGGGUUUGGGUAGAAGCCUGGACAGUUGAUGGGAAUUUUAUCAAUUUGUUAGAAGUGGAGGAUGAGUGGUAUUUAGAAUGGAAAAUUAUCCAUAGCGGCACAAAGGGAAGAAUGGGGUGACCUCCCACUUGGGAGCCAUUGGAGGCAAAUAUGAAAAGACCCAGUGGGGUGAGACAGUGGAAGUCCAUGGAUCUUGUAAGGUGCUGUUUAGUGCAGUGAAGGCAGACAGUUUUGUGGUCACCCUGAUUGCGGUCACUUCCAAUCCCAGUCCUAUCUUAACUCUGUGCAAACGUGAGGAAGUGACUAAAAAGUCCUCUCAUGGGUUCCCUCAUCUCAACAGGAAGACAACACCAACCUUGUCUUAUAAUGUGUGAGAGUUAAACAACUGAACAUAGAUGUACAGCAGUUGGUCACAGGUGUAGAAUCCAAUGAUAAAAAAGAACAGAAUAGGCCUUGCUCCCCAAAGAAUUCACACUCUACUUGUGGGAGGCCAAAAAUUAGCACGUAAACAAAGAAAAGAAUUUUCUGGCAUGAGAUGCUAACGCAAAAGGUAACAUACCUAGGAAAAUGGUAUAGAUAACAAUGGAAGCAGCUUAAAAAGCUAAGUGGUCUAUAAUAGACCCUCAUUGAGGGAUCACUGGUGUCUCCCAGCCUCUCCAACUCAGAAGUCCAUAGUUUAUCCUAAAGCAGUUAGGACCUAUAAAGCAUCUGAGUAAAGUGAUGACAAGACAUGAUGACAAAAAAAA